Small nuclear RNA from Rattus norvegicus (Norway rat), 66 nucleotides. Ensembl annotates it as U7 small nuclear RNA. The record is from Ensembl. NCBI's taxonomy places the organism in Eukaryota, Metazoa, Chordata, Mammalia, Rodentia, Muridae.
GAGGGAACAUGGCUCUUUUAGAAUUUUUUUUCUAGCAGCUUUUCUGACUUUGGUUGGAAAACCCAU